Molecule: long non-coding RNA, 827 nt
Filed under: Lynx pardinus (Iberian lynx)
Lineage: Eukaryota; Metazoa; Chordata; Mammalia; Carnivora; Felidae
Source: RNAcentral
AACUUCAGGACACUUGGGAGGGGUGCCUUGCUUCCCUUUGGCGGGGGCACCCCUCCUGGUGGUACCUCUCCGCUCUGUUUCAGUGUGUGUGUGCUAUCGCGUCAAGGAGACCAACUGUAGGCUUCUGGAGAAACUUGGAAAGAGAAGUUCAGCACAGCCAGUGACUGAAGUCCCAAGGACGUGGCAGAAAAUCAAGAAAUAAAAAAGCUGGAGAGACACUAAGAGAACACUGGAUGUUAAUUAUACUGGCAUUUCUUUUUUAAAGGCUGGAGAAACUUUGGAUGCGAUUAUAAAGUAAGUAGACUAAUUUUACAAAGAUAUAGAUGCAAACUAAUGCAUAAGAAAUGAGGGAGACUAUAGUUAUCCUGGUAAUAUUAUUGGAUGUCUCAAAUGCAGCUCAAUGAUCAUGAUUUUUAAAGUCUCGCAUUAAAUUUUAGUCACAUGCCUCAUUCUUGAUCAAAAUGUCUAUCAGCAAAUUUGAGUCCCCUCCCCAUUCAUCUGCAUAAUCUCUAACUUUGACUUUUCACAGUCAAAACCAAAAAUAAAUCUUCCUUCAAAGGACGAUCCCAGGUGCCAGCACGACUCUUGAGAGUAUUUCAGAGCUUCCUCAAUUUCAACCAAAGUCCAAAGAUUCCCUGUAAACAGAGGUACUAUGUAUUUUGAAUUCUUACUUUUGACAAUUUUCCACGGGAAUCUCAUGUUUCUACACACCUUGUGAGAAGAGGCACAGAGCUUUCUUGUUCCAGACUAUCUUUUUAUGUAGGAAACAACCUUGGAAGAGAGAGUUUUCCCCUCUUGGACAGCCUUGCUUGCAUGCCCUUUAAAAG